RNAcentral lists this long non-coding RNA (655 nucleotides) under Ictidomys tridecemlineatus (thirteen-lined ground squirrel). RNAcentral's name for it is "lncRNA (ENSSTOG00000034760.1)". The record is from RNAcentral. Lineage: Eukaryota; Metazoa; Chordata; Mammalia; Rodentia; Sciuridae.
CUUCUCGACUGGCCCGUGACCCAAACCUGUGGCCACAUUUCAAGUGUUCACCAGCCACGUCUGCUAGCAGCUAUGGAAUACUUCCUUUGUCACAGAAGGUUCUACUAGAGAGACUGUUUGGGCCAAACACCAAUAAUGCGUGUUGUCACCGAGUGGAAAACGGACAAGCGUGCUUAGAAGAAACCAGAACACCAUGAUGAUCUUGCCUGAGGGAUCCAGCUGUCCACCUAUAGGAAGGACAGAGGACAGGGGGAUGUGCUGAACAGCAAUCAGAAAACCAGAUGUGGGGGAAUUCUACAUAUCCAAUGAUCUAACUUUUUAAAAAGUUAAUAAUGAGAAGAAAAAGAAAGAUAUAAGGAGGAAUUUGCAGAUUCCAAGAGAAUUAGAAAUUUCAAAGUAAAAGGGUGAAACGACCCUGUCUGUGAAUGGACCCUGGAUGAAGAAACUCCCCCAAAAUGCAAAGAAAUGAUGACACUGUAAAAGUCAGGGAGCAGUUACUAGUGGGGGAAGAGCUGUGAUUGACUCAGGGCCCCUGGGAGCACUUCAGGUGAGUCCAGAGAACUCUAUUUUGUUGACCUGAGUGCUGGCUACAAAGUGUUCACCUUCAAAUAACUCACUAAGCCCUAGUUUUUGUUUUUCAUGGCUUUCUCUAUCA